GAUGAACGCUGGCGGCGUGCCUAAUACAUGCAAGUCGAGCGAACAGACGAGGAGCUUGCUCCUCUGACGUUAGCGGCGGACGGGUGAGUAACACGUGGAUAACCUACCUAUAAGACUGGGAUAACUUCGGGAAACCGGAGCUAAUACCGGAUAAUAUAUUGAACCGCAUGGUUCAAUAGUGAAAGACGGUUUUGCUGUCACUUAUAGAUGGAUCCGCGCCGCAUUAGCUAGUUGGUAAGGUAACGGCUUACCAAGGCGACGAUGCGUAGCCGACCUGAGAGGGAGAUCGGCCACACUGGAACUGAGACACGGUCCAGACUCCUACGGGAGGCAGCAGUAGGGACUCUUCCGCAAUGGACGAAAGCCUGACGGAGCAACGCCGCGUGAGUGCUGAAGGUCUUCGGAUCGUAAAACUCUGUUAUUAGGGAAGAACAAAUGUGUAAGUAACUAUGCACGUCUUGACGGUACCUAAUCAGAAAGCCACGGCUAACUACGUG
This 497-nucleotide ribosomal RNA is filed under the name uncultured bacterium. RNAcentral describes it as "partial 16S ribosomal RNA". It matches the Rfam family "Bacterial small subunit ribosomal RNA", at positions 28 to 507 of the family's 1533-position model. The record is from RNAcentral.